Molecule: ribosomal RNA, 450 nt
Filed under: uncultured bacterium
Lineage: Bacteria
Description: bacterial SSU rRNA
Rfam family: Bacterial small subunit ribosomal RNA
Source: RNAcentral
GUGGGGAAUUUUGGACAAUGGGCGAAAGCCUGAUCCAGCCAUGCCGCGUGUGUGAAGAAGGUCUUCGGAUUGUAAAGCACUUUAAGUUGGGAGGAAGGGCAGUAAGUUAAUACCUUGCUGUUUUGACGUUACCGACAGAAUAAGCACCGGCUAACUUCGUGCCAGCAGCCGCGGUAAUACGAAGGGUGCAAGCGUUAAUCGGAAUUACUGGGCGUAAAGCGCGCGUAGGUGGUUUUGUAAGUUGGAGGUGAAAUCCCCGGGCUCAACCUGGGAACUGCCUCCAAAACUGCAUGACUAGAGUACGGUAGAGGGUAGUGGAAUUUCCUGUGUAGCGGUGAAAUGCGUAGAUAUAGGAAGGAACACCAGUGGCGAAGGCGACUACCUGGACUGAUACUGACACUGAGGUGCGAAAGCGUGGGGAGCAAACAGGAUUAGAAACCCUGGUAGUCC